This 209-nucleotide ribosomal RNA is filed under the name Bacillus sp. AFS076308. RNAcentral's name for it is "partial 16S ribosomal RNA". It matches the Rfam family "Bacterial small subunit ribosomal RNA", at positions 1169 to 1377 of the family's 1533-position model. The record is from RNAcentral. Lineage: Bacteria; Bacillati; Bacillota; Bacilli; Caryophanales; Bacillaceae.
GAAGGUGGGGAUGACGUCAAGUCAUCAUGGCCCUUACGGCCUGGGCUACACACGUGCUACAAUGGUCGGUACAGAGGGUUGCCAAGCCGCGAGGAGGAGCUAAUCCCAGAAAACCGAUCGUAGUCCGGAUCGCAGUCUGCAACUCGACUGCGUGAAGUCGGAAUCGCUAGUAAUCGCGAAUCAGAAUGUCGCGGUGAAUACGUUCCCGG